UGUAAAUUACAAAUUUAAUUUUGAAUUUGAUGCCUUCCUUAAUCUUUUCCAAAAUCGCCAAAUAAAAAAAAACACAACAACAUAAAGCAAUUCCCUCCUAAGAUGAUGCCACGUGGAUAAACAAAAAAUCAUCAAAUAAAAAAAAAAACCAACCAAAAAAACACAACAACAUAAAAGCAAUUCCCUCCUAAGAUGCUGCUACGUGGAUAAACAAAAAGAUCAAACGUCUGGCGCACAAUAAAACCGUAGGUUAAAAGCAGUGAAUCCAAUCUCCACCCUUAUAAAACCCUAUUUUCUCUCUCCUCUCAUAACUGCUUUCCAGAGACUUCUAAAUUUCACGCUUUUGUCAAGUUUUAAUCUUUGUGAAGGGUUGAAGAAAAACAUGACGAGACGAAUUUACCGUACUAUUUACGUUGGUAAUCUUCCCGGUGAUAUUCGCGAGAGAGAAGUCGAGGAUAUCUUUUACAAGUAUGGCCCAAUCGUUGACAUUGAUCUGAAGAUUCCACCACGGCCUCCUGGUUAUGCUUUUGUUGAGUUCGAAGAUGAACGUGAUGCUGAAGAUGCUGUGUAUGGCCGUAAUGGUUAUGAUUUUGACGGGCAUCGUUUGCGGGUGGAAUUUGCUCAUGGUGGUCGAGGAUCCCUAUCAUCUGACCGUCACAGCAGUUAUGGAGGCAGCAGUUAUAGGGGUGGAGCACCCAAGCACACUGACUAUAGAGUCAUGGUCACUGGACUGCCGUCAUCUGUUUCUUGGCAAGACCUUAAGGAUCACAUGCGACGAGCCGGAGAUGUUUGUUUUUCAGAUGUAUUCAAGGAUCGUCGUUAUGGUGGCAUGACUGGAGUUGUUGAAUAUGCAAGUUAUGAUGAUAUGAAGCGUGCUGUCAGGAAACUGGAUGAUUCUGAGUUUCGUAAUGCAUUCUCUCGUGCUUAUAUUCGAGUGAAAGAGUACUCCAGGAGUCUGAGUCCAGAUGAUAGGUCGAGAAGUAGAAGCUACAGCCGUGGCCGUAGUUACAGCCGAAGCAGAAGCCGAAGCUGCAGCUACAGCAUUUCUCCAAGAAAAAGUUCACGACGUUCUUAUUCCAGAUCUCCUUCUAGGUCUCCCUCAAGAUCCCCUUCUCGUUCUCGUUCUAGUUGGAGCGAUGGACUGUGGUGAGUAAAGAGGAGUCAUUGGAUACAUGCAGGUAGUUUGUCUCGUAUAUGCCAUAUGAUGUGAUGAAUUUAUUAGGACAUGGCAUUUUAGUGCUCUACUAUGUCUAGUGAAAUUAUGCUUUUAUUUAGAUCUGAAGAAUUUGGAACCGUAUUUUUGUUAUUCAUCUUACAAUGCCUUGUUUUUCAAGUUAUGUGGAGUUUUGUCCAGUAAAUAAAUAUGCAUAUUAUAGGGAUAAGUUGAAACUAAAGAUGGAACAUUCGAAAGUGAAAAUGUAGAUAAAACAGACAGAUUUUCCAAAUUAAACCUGCCUCUUGAUGGAUUUUUAGGACACGGUCGUAUUUGAAACAUAUGAGAUGUUGCCUAAUUGUUUUAAUGAGUUUAUGAAGCUUGUCUUCUUUGUUUCGUAGAUCCAGCUCUUUGCGGCAGUCUGGGGAUUGGACAUAGGGGCUUGGAUCUAUUUCACAUCAAACCUUGCUCAUUUCCAUCCAGGCUGGCGUUGUUUUAUAUUUGUUGGAUGUGUUCACUAUUGGGAAUUAUGAUUGUUGGAUAAAUAAUAAAGGUAUUAUGUUUGGUGGAGGUUUUGGAUGUGAGCUGGCAAAAUCUUUGGUUCUAUAAGAAAGAACUGGAUUCUCAUAUGUGCUCUAGUGUCUUGGAACACAGAGCAGUUGUAGCCCAAUUGCAUAAGCAUGAGAUUUGGUAGGACUCCUGGUAAAAGGAUAUUGGUAGAUACAAUGUUCUAUGCAAUUUAAGUGCGAAACAUGGUUUUGGGCCUUUGCUACACAUUGGUGAACAUGAUAUUCCACACCGAUCUGACUGGAUGGUAAGGUUGGAAUUUCUUGCUCUAGUCCAAAAUGGCUCUCUGAUGGUAAGGUUGGAAUUUCUUGCUCUAGUCCAGAAUGGCUCUCUUUCCACUUCCCCUUACUGGUGUAAUUUUUCUGUAUAGUUUUGAGUAAAGGCAAACUGAGGUCCAAAAUCACCCUGUUGAAUUCUUGUCAAAAUCAUAACUAAUUGCUGAAUCUGUUAAAUUUAUGACAAAUUGCUGAGGCUGUCAAAUUUAUUUAGACUGACAUUUUACCAAUGCUCUAUUUGAUUUUCAGAUCUUUAUCAAGGUCCAAAUCUCCAGUUCGCCGUUCUGUUAGCAGAAGUGUCAGUCGAUCACGUUCUCCAGCUGCAAGAUCUGAUAGAAGUCGUUCUGUUGAGUCUGAGGAGCGUUGCUGAAUCGAGAAGUAAAUACUGCACAAAAUAGUGGAUGAGUGUAACGUUAAAGAGCUGUGCUGUAGCAUAUACUUGGGAGUAGAAUUGUUAGAAUUAGCUGAUAAUGUACACUCUUGCUAUAUUGGGACUAGGGCGCGAGGAGUUUACUCAGUAGAUCAGAUUAGUGAAUUUCUCAUCAGGGAUCUGAACUUGCUGUUGCAGAUUUUUAGUUUUCUAUUAAGCGAUUGACUAAUUUGGUCGACUUAGUUGGUCAAUAAAUGAUCUAAGAAUUGUGGUUGUAAGAUUCUUAUGUAUUGGUUUAAAAUCUAUUGCUUUUAUAAAUGUUUGGUAAAAGCUGAA
RNA transcript from Chenopodium quinoa (quinoa), 2701 nucleotides. It is a transcript of the gene named serine/arginine-rich splicing factor SR30-like, with no coding region annotated. The transcript has 13 exons. NCBI's taxonomy places the organism in Eukaryota, Viridiplantae, Streptophyta, Magnoliopsida, Caryophyllales, Amaranthaceae. The record is from RefSeq and is a predicted model, not a curated record.